GACGAACGCUGGCGGCGUGCCUAACACAUGCAAGUCGAGCGGGGACUUGGGAGCUUGCUCCCGGGUUCUAGCGGCGGACGGGUGAGUAACGCGUGAGCAACCUGCCUCUUACUGGGGGAUAACGCAUCGAAAGAUGUGCUAAUACCGCGUAAGACCACAGCACCGCAUGGUGCAGAGGUCAAAGGAGCAAUCCGGUAAGAGAUGGGCUCGCGUCCGAUUAGCUAGUUGGUGAGAUAACGGCCCACCAAGGCGACGAUCGGUAGCCGACCUGAGAGGGUGAUCGGCCACAUUGGAACUGAGAUACGGUCCAGACUCCUACGGGAGGCAGCAGUGGGGAAUAUUGGGCAAUGGGCGAAAGCCUGACCCAGCAACGCCGCGUGAGGGAAGAAGGGUUUCGGCUCGUAAACCUCUGCCCUAUGGGACGAUGAAGUGACGGUACCAUAGGAGGAAGCCCCGGCUAACUACGUG
RNAcentral lists this ribosomal RNA (468 nucleotides) under uncultured bacterium. Its description in RNAcentral is "bacterial SSU rRNA". It matches the Rfam family "Bacterial small subunit ribosomal RNA", at positions 28 to 507 of the family's 1533-position model. The record is from RNAcentral.